Long non-coding RNA from Homo sapiens (human), 703 nucleotides. RefSeq lists it as uncharacterized. NCBI's taxonomy places the organism in Eukaryota, Metazoa, Chordata, Mammalia, Primates, Hominidae. The record is from RefSeq and is a predicted model, not a curated record. The transcript has 2 exons.
AAUUCUGGGCAAACUAGUUGCUGGCCAGCACCACCAGGAGCUCAGGGAGAGAAGAGAGGACAGCCAGGUGCCCUCCCCACCACCCGCCUGGCCCCAUGCCACCUCUGCCCACACCAGGCGGGGCCAUGGAGAGGAAGGCAAAUAGCAACUAGUGCCCAGUGUGCGGCCUGGCCCCACCUCCUGCCAGUGCCUGGGCAACACCUUCUGCUAGGGGGUGGUGUCUGGGACAGUGCCUGGUGCUGUCAGCUGGAGCUGGCAGGCCCACAUUGGAAGCAUCUUCUAAGUAGGAAGGGGAGACAAGGGCUUGAAGCUGGGGGAGAUGGGGAAAGCCUCCCGCCCCAUCCACGCCAUUCCUGCCUUCCCCUCGUCCUGGGUAUUUUGGAGCCUGCCAGCUGAGGAGUGCUCUCCCAGGGUUGGGACUGCAGGCGCCUGACAAACUGAAGAGCACUGAAGCUGGAGAUGCAAAGAAGAGGGAGCAUUGACUAUGUUCUUGGAGCAACGAGCAAGUCAGUGAGGCACGCGUGUGACAGGUGCCUUUCCUGAACCCAGCAAUCCUCCUCCCCUUUCCCUGGCUCUCCUGGGAACUCCUAAUGAAGUCAGAAUAAGCCACUCCAUCAAUUUAUGAUCCCCAGAUGACUGUGUCCCUUUGCUCCUUAAUCACUCAGGUACCCAGAUUCUCUAUUAGCAAGAAGCCCAGAACCCC